CCUACGGGAGGCAGCAGUCGAGAAUCAUUCACAAUGGGGGAAACCCUGAUGGUGCGACGCCGCGUGGGUGAAUGAAGAUCUUCGUAUUGUAAACCCCUGUCAUGUGGGAGAAAAUGAAAAAGAUAGUACCACAAGAGGAAGCGACGUCUAACUCUGUGCCAGCAGCCGCGGUAAUACGGAGGUCUCAAGCGGUGUUCGCAAUCACUGGGGGUAAAGCGUGCGGAGACGGUUGUGCAAGGCGGGAGUGAAAGGCGCGGGCUCAACCCCGGGACUGCACAUGAUACUGUGAGACUAGAGUGAAGGAGGGGGAAGCGGAAUUCUUGGUGUAGCAGUGAAAUGCGUAGAUAUCGGGAGGAACACUAGUGGCGAAGGCGGGUUACUGGACAUUAACUGACGCUGAGGCACGAAGGCGAGGGGAGCGAAAGGGAUUAGAUACCCGUGUAGUC
This 446-nucleotide ribosomal RNA is filed under the name uncultured bacterium. Its description in RNAcentral is "partial 16S ribosomal RNA". It matches the Rfam family "Bacterial small subunit ribosomal RNA", at positions 338 to 795 of the family's 1533-position model. The record is from RNAcentral.